Molecule: long non-coding RNA, 1602 nt
Organism: Nylanderia fulva
Lineage: Eukaryota; Metazoa; Arthropoda; Insecta; Hymenoptera; Formicidae
Source: RefSeq, a predicted model, not a curated record
UACGCGCACCUGUCUUACGAUUAUUGCAUUGUUCGUACAUCGAUUGCGCGACUGGCGCGCAACUUCAAAUUUAUAAAUAAAGUUUGAAAAAUGAAAUGAAAAACGAAGAGCAUAAAUAAGCGUGCGACGAGAAAUUUCGAUUAACUUGGGAAUUUAAUUCAAGAUACAAAUGCGUUCCUUGGGAUAAUCCUGUCGUUCCAGCAAACUCAAAAAAUAAGGCAAUGUAUGUGCCUUAUUUCUGACCAGGAUAGCGAUCAGCAGAGUGGGUUCCUUUAAAACUGUGUCACAUGUAGCAAAACACGCGAGACUGAUAUAUAUAACGAAAUAAAUCAAAUAGUAUUUUCGAAGUAUCAUCGUAUAAAGUUAAUACUUGUACGAAGUUUAUUAAAUUUCCGUGUUUUUCUCGACGCGGUCUAUUAAGAAAAUUUAAGAAAGAUUUUAUACCAAGAGAUGACACGACGACGUGAUCUCUUUUCUAUUAUCACAAACGCGUGGGUAACGCACGAUCGAUAAAACAGGAAAAUUUAAAAACAAAUCAUACUUGGCAAUAGCUGCUGUGGCAAGUUCUGCAAAUUAUAUGGCAAACAGAUAAUCGUAUUUGCUGCCUUUUGAGAUGCUAAUGCCAACAAAUCAUGUAUUGUCGGCACAACUACAGCAGUUCCAUCAGCUCUGGUGUUUUUUUGCUUGUAACUGAUAAAUCCACCAACAUUGCAAAUAGAAUCUGUUUUAUUUGAGAUAUAGACACCCCAGGUACUGAUUCGUUUAUUAUGCUACUACUAUCAGUCUGAUAUAAACGAUGAUAAAAUAUCCGAAAUUUAUCACGUCUUCCUACACUUAAUGAACGCAUCAGUGAUUUUAAAGACAUUAUUUUUCUCGUCUGAUAAUUGAGGCUUCAUUGGCAAUCCUUUUUUGAUUAUCAUCUAGCCAUAUUAAAAUAAUUUUUCUUGGUAACAUAUAGUCGCAUUUUAUUAAUUCUAUACACACUAUAAACUGUGUACACACACUUCUAUAAAUAUUACUAUUAUACAAUUAUUACACUCCAAAUCAUUAAUGUAGAUAAUCUAAACUUCGUGCAACGGUUUACUGUUUUGCAUCACUCAUUUACAAUUCUCAAGUAUAAUAAGAAUAAUAUUUACAAAUUUUUCAAAGCUACUGUUUUCACUGACAAUGAAUUGAAUGUCUUGAAUUAAUAUACUACGCACUAUACAGCGAUUAAUUAAUUAUACUGUUGAUUGUAAAUAAAACCGGCAUGUAUAAAGCACGUGGUACAUACAUUUAGAAGGGGAAGGGAGGAUUCACUUCUCCACAUUACACUUUGUGCACUUAAAGUGUAACAGAUAUACAUGUAUUCAGAUUCGAAAGAGAAAGAAGGAAGCAUGAGAAAGAACAGUUCCCGCCAAUUUUAUAGAAUAUUUUAGUUCUCUAUAUUUUGUGUGUAAACAGUAAAAGUAGAUUUUUAAUCAUUGUGAGCAAAAAAAAUUCGUUAAUUUUGUUUCAGUAUUUUUCAUCUUGUCGCGGUAUUUCGUAUUCAUUUUUAAAAUAUGACAUCUUUUUUUGGACUAUCGAUAAAAAAUCACGCAUGAUUUUAUCUUUAAUUUAUAA